GGUGACAGAUGGGCACUGGAGGGAAGCUGACAGAAGGAAUGUCCCAGGGUGACACAUCUGCUUGUUCUGUCACUGCCCAGCCAGCAGAGGCAACCACACAAGAGGUGCAUGAUGCCCGCUUUUCAGCAGGACCCUGAUGGAAAUUAAUGUAUUAAUGUCACACAUAAAGAAUGUGAAGGAGCUUAAAUUAAUAUUCACUCCCCAGGGACCUUGGCAAUUUCCAACAAGGUUUCGAGGAGUCACAGGGGAUGUGGAAAGUCGGAGGAGCAGUAGUUGGAAGCAUUGGGCAGUUUUUAAUCUAAAGAGGCUUUGAGCUUGUGAAGCUUGACUCUGGGGAGCAAGAAGAGUGUGGGCAAAAGCCAGGUCUCUGCAGGUCCUCUUCCCUGUUCAGGCUCAGGUGCUUUUAGCUCUAGAAAUUUCUCCCCACCUCACACUCCCUUGGCCUUCACCCUCCACCCUUCAUCUUCUUCUGCAAUCUUAAUUUCCAAGGUGGUCUCUUCAAUAGAAAGAUGUGGAACUCCACCCCCUGCUUCUCCCCUGGCCUCCCUGCCUGGCCAGCCCUCGCCCAGCCAUGUCUGUGCUGUGUGACAUUAGCAGUGUGCUUGCUCUCUCUGUGCCCUCCUUCCUUAUUUGAGAUCAUGACUGUAAUUACUUUGCAGGGGAGAUGGGCUGAUAGGUGGAAUAUGGGUUUAGCUCAGGCCUGCCACCUGUCCACCACUGUUGCCUGUCCAUGUGAGUGGCAGCCUCCUGGAGCGGGGUUCAGGUGACCUCAGGGUGACCAAGGAGGAAAGCCAUGAGCACCCUCACCUUGCACCAGGGAGGCAGGUCCAUGUGUGGUUGCCUGGACCACACCAGGGAUGCUCACAUCUUCUUUUGUUUUGAGCGACCUGUGCCUGCCACCUCUCACAUGCUUGCUUUCUCUUUUCUUUCUCUGCAAUUUUAUUUCAUUCAUUCUUUUUUUUUUUUUUUUUGCAGUUUUAAUGAGGGAUUAAAUGGUGUUCUGCACAGCAUGCAGUCAUUUUAUUUUAAACUUUGGAAUGAUUCUAGAUGUGCAGAAAGUUGCAACAAUAGUUCGCAGCCCCUUCACCCAGCUCCCUGAUGCAACAUCUUAAAUCACCUGGUGCUUUGCUCAGGCCUGUGGGAACAGCGUCCUUCUGACAGACUCGGCCCUGUUGGGAUUGAUGGGUCCUGGGAAUGUCCUUUUUCUGCCCCAGCCAGAGUCCCACACUGUGUCUGCAGUUACUUUUCCCCAGUCCCCUCCAAGCUGUGAUGCUUCCUUGGUCCUCCUUCCUGUCUUUGGGCCUCGGCAUUUUUGAGGAGGACCGGUCAGGUGUCCUGUGGUUUGUGCCUCUGCUUGGGUUUCUCUGCUCUUUCCUCCCCAUUGGGCCUGGGCUGAGGGUUUGAGGAGACCAGAGCGGAAGGUACUUAUCAUUUCUCAUCAGGGGUUAGUUUUUUAUAAGAGUUGACUCAGGGAGUUCCCGAUGUGGCACAUUGGGUUAAGAACCUGAUUGCAGCUGUUCAUGCAGCUGCAGAGGCCUGGGUUUGAUCUCCUCCAGGCACCAUGAUGAAAGGAUCCGGAUUCAAUCCCUGGCCUGGGAACUUCCAUAUGCUGCAGGUGAGGCUAUUAAAAAAAAAAAAAAAAAAAAAAAAAAGACUUAUUCUUGAUGGUCCUUCCAGCUCUGCUUCGUCUGUUAUUGCUUAAUGAGUCUACAAAUGAAGGUGCAAAGUGCUCUCACCAAGGUGCUGGCCCCGAGAUUCUCCUGAAUCUGAAACUUUCCUCCCGGUGCCGGUGCCGGUGCAGUGGAAGUCACAGCUUCAAGGCCUUCCUCACAUGUGGAUUGGCUCCGUGGCCCAAGGGAAACGGUAACUAGAGCUUUUAAAAGACCUCUUUGGCUUUGGAGUUUCCUUGACUGAAGAAUUGCAGCCAAAGAGCAAAACCUUUUAUAUUUCUUCUCCUCUGUUUACCGGCUGCAUCCCAGCUCUGGGAGUUGUCUCUGAACACGUGUGACUCUGAAACCUUCAGUCAAGGAAGAACCGGCAGAAAAACAGUUCAUGCUUAGUUUAGAAAACUCAGAUGUGGAAGACAAGUUGUCCAGAAGGUAGCUGGUGUGAAAUAAUGAAGAGCAUCUGAGCAUCUGGACAGCCUGGUCCUGGCGAGUACCCUCCUGGUCCUGGCAGGCCUUCUCAAUUCUGGGGGAGUAUCCGCCUGACCCCUCCUGGUCCUGGUGGGGACCGGAGCCUCUGGGAGAGUCCUUGUUGCUGAGGCGGCACUUAAUUCAUAACCGAGCCUCAUCGUGCUCACACUCACAUGCAGCUUCUCUGCAGCGCUGAUGAUGCUGUCGGGCUGCAUUUUCCUUGCUCACUGGCCCUGCUGCAUCAUCGUAAAGGGCCCAGGAUACAUUGCAGGUCUUAAAAGAUAUGUCCGCAAAGUAAUUUCUUUAAGAUGGAAAAAGUGAAAGGAAACGUCUCUGCUUCUUCACAGGUGAAGUAACCAGGCAGGCAGGGGGUGCAGGAGAGCCUUGCCGCCCUGAACCUCACACCCACCCUGCUGGGGUGGGGUUCUGGACUCCUGUUCUUGGACUCUGGCGCCUCCCAGCAGUCAUUCAUUCCUGGACUCCAGCUGCCAGCUUGUGGGAGGUUGUCCGAAUUCCCGUUCCUGAGCCUGGAGGGCAGACACGUUACCUGGUUACGUGGUUAUGUGAUCGUGUAAAGAAAGGGCAAUACCGUGAAUUCUUAUUUCUGGGGAUCCCCACCUGCCUUUUUUCAUUUAUAAAAACGUGUGUGUUAACUUAUGAUUAAGAAGACAGACUUUUCAUGUACUGCUUAUGGUUCACGAAGCAGAAAUACUGCAUUUUAAACUUUAAAAGAUGUUUGCAAUGCUGUUUUUAAAGCUUGCCGUCAGAUGCCUACGGAAGACCUUUCCAGUGGGGUGAGAACAGUAGCACACAUCAGUGGGAUCCUCGAUCCAGUGCUCUGCUGGGUCAGCGCAGGUGAUGCAGGGCAGGGUGAAGUGGAGGUUCUGCCCCAAGAUGCAGGCAAGAUGCAGGUUUGAUAUGCAGGCAAGCCUGGGGUCACCCAGGAAAGCACACAGCAGGUCUUUGUUGGUGAUGUGCUGUCAGCCUGUAUCGGCGGCCCAUCCAAAUUAUUAAAUUAUUAGAUGCAGGUAGACCCCCUUUUCCGGUCCUGUUGCUGAGCCCUGGCUUUCAUUGUUCAGGCUUCUCCAUCCUCUGGCUUUUGCUCACACGGGUCAGAGGCCGAUGUCCGCAGUUGCUAACUGUGCAGCAUUUUACUGGCGGCUGCCCUUGAGGUGCUUUUAUUUAGUCUGAUCCGCAGAGCCCGAAAAGGCCCUGUACGUUUGCGGCAGUUUCUUUCUUAAAAGCCACAGCAAACUUUCUUUAGAAGGGUAAUUACUUUAAUAAUGACUUUUGAUCAUUUCAGACUCUGAGAGGCUGGGGGAGUCCUGCCUCCCAAGGGCACCAGCCUCUGGCUUGGGUACUUCAUUUACACGUUCUCGGGAAAGUCCGAUUGGGUUCAAUUAGCAUUCCCUCCUGUUUAAUCCGUCAGACUUCUGUUUCCCAACCCGGGAUUGAGGGCGGGCUAAGCGCCUGUUGUGACUUUGACCUUGGCCUGGGUCUGCCUCUCCCGGCUUAGCUGGAAAUGUGUUAAAAGGACUUUGAUGGUAUAUAGAGGAAUAACUGAGCAUGAACACCUGAUUGUGAAGCCCUGUGCUCGCCUCCUUUUUAUUAGGACCAAAGGAUCAUGGAGUGAAUUAGAGCAAAACCCUUGAAGGAUUUUUCCCUGCGAGGCAGCUGUGAGAGCAGGUCUGCGGAGCUGGGCGCUGGUGGGGAUGAGGGCGAGCACUUUCAUUUUAAUCAUCUGGAAAAGCCUUGCUCGGAGGAUAGUAGUUUGCACAUAAGUAACGUUUUCUUUUUGCCCUAAUUUGCCUGGCUUGCUGCUGAUGGGAUGGCAUUUGGGGGCAGAGCGUGGCCUCAAUGCCGACCGCUGCUCUCUCCUGCCAGGAGGAGCCGUCUCAGUGCAGAAAGCAGUACUGUGGAUCAGUUAAUUAUAACUUCACUACGUUCCUCUUUCCGUCUUUGGUUUUUAUCCGCGGUCUCUAAUGAGCGGGGCUGUGUCUUUCUCUGCCCCCUGUGCGUGGGGACAUGUGUGGCCUCAAGCCUUCCUGGCUUUGGUGCUUCCACCUAUGUGGAUGUUCUGGAGGCUUCUGUGUGUCAGGCCUGCAGUUCCUGGUAGAUGAAGUAUUACGGCGAGACUCGUCCUCCCCUUCUCUGGUAAUCCUGGGAGUUGCCUUUUGAUUAAAGUCGUACGGUGGUUUGAUUUGAGUUUGUAAGAAGGAGUCUCUGGGUUUGAAGCAUGGAAAUCGUAGGUAUCCUCUGCUGGGCGGGUCCCACCAGUGCCAGGUGUGGCAACGGGCAGGAGUGAUCUUGUGGCUCAGUGUGGCCACCGUGGGCUCUCCAGGAAAGCCUGGGAGCACUUCUGUGACAAAAGCACUCAGCAGAUGAAUUGAGAUGCCUUGAAGGAAAAUACUUUAAAAAUUUUUUUUUAAUUAAAAAAAAAUUUUUUUUUUUUUUUUCUUUUUUAGAGCCAUACCUGCAGCAUGUGGAGAGGUUCCUAGGCUUGGGUCCAAUCGGAGCUACAGCUGCUGGCCUACGCCACAGCCACAGCAGUGCCAGAUCUGAGUUGUGUCUGCAGCCUACACCACAGCUCACGGCACCGCUGGAUCCUUAACCCACUGAGCGAGGUCAGGGAUUGAACCUGGGUCCUUAUGGAUGCUAGUCAGAUUCGCUUCCGUUGAGCCACUAGGGGAACUCCCUAACUUUGAUUUUAAUCAGGAAUAUAUUAUGGUGCAAAAUAGGGUGGAAAGAGUUCAUAUGUUUUAUCUCUGGCUUUGGGGAAAAUCACUGGACAAGGGGGAGAGGAAGAGGGAGAGAGGCUUUUCCUUGAUGACCCCCCCUGCCCUGGACGGAGGCCAGCACUCCGGUCUGCAGGUGUAGAUGCCCAGAUGAACCAGCUACCUGCCCAGGUGUGAGUACCGCCUGGUGGGCGAGCUGGCCCAGGUGGGCAAGCAGCAGUUGUCUGUUGGCUGUCAGCAUAGCCAGUCCUGAGGGUGUGGGCCUGGGGCUCAGGCCCCAGAACCCGAUCUGGUGUGGUGAUGGGGUUGGACUUUGGUUUCUAUGCACUUCCUCCUUGAAUAUUUACACCAUGACUGAAUCUGGGAUCUGGGAUGGAAAGAAGAAGGGAUCUGAAUAUGCUGGGGGCCAAGGAUAUCCCAGACACUGGCUUAAGUCUGUAGGUGCCCUUUCUCCUCUCACAUCUGGGAGACCAGAUUCAUCGUUGUCGUCAUCCUAAAGAUGGGUUUCUGACAACUGCAGAAGCCCUGGGUGAUGAGUGACCUCCUCAAAUUCUCCUGAAGGCCAAAGUAAAGAGGAUGAUCCAGGGCUUUUUCAAAGCACUGGUCCAGGCAUGGCCAGGCUGCCACCUUGGACCCCCUGGUCCGAGGCUGCAGGUAGCAUCAUCCACUCACACCAUGAUUCUGUUUUCAGCAGGGGGGGGGGGCGCUUUGUGGUGGUGAAG
This 5592-nucleotide long non-coding RNA is filed under the name Sus scrofa (pig). RNAcentral's name for it is "lncRNA (ENSSSCG00040010238.1)". The record is from RNAcentral. Lineage: Eukaryota; Metazoa; Chordata; Mammalia; Artiodactyla; Suidae.